UAAGACAGAGGUCCCGAGCGUUAGGCGGAAUCACUGGGCUUAAAGCGUGUGUAGGCGGAUUUGUAAGUACCUUGUGAAAUCCCACGGCUUAACCGUGGAACUGCUUGGUAUACUGCUUAUCUUGAGCCACUUAGGGGCAACCGGAACAAACGGUGGAGCGGUGAAAUGCGUAGAUAUCGUUUGGAACGCCAAUGGUGAAAACAGGUUGCUGGGAGUGUGCUGACGCUGAGACACGAAAGCCAGGGGAGCGAACGGGAUUAGAUACCCCGGUAGUCCUGGCUGUAAACGAUGUCGACUAGAUUGUGGCGGCUCUGACGCCGUCACGGUCGAAGCAAAAGUGCUAAGUCGACCGCCUGGGAAGUACGGUCGCAAGGCUA
RNAcentral lists this ribosomal RNA (377 nucleotides) under uncultured bacterium. Its description in RNAcentral is "bacterial SSU rRNA". It matches the Rfam family "Bacterial small subunit ribosomal RNA", at positions 521 to 896 of the family's 1533-position model. The record is from RNAcentral.